CCUUGUGACUUUAACCGACAAAGAACCACUAAACCAGCCUAGUUUGCCGGGACUCAAACCAAGAAGCAUAACAAUAGUAAAGAGAUUAAAUGACAAUAAUAUUCAUAGUUGUUACAUUCUUUUCAUCAAUACAUAAAGAAGACAACAAUUUCCAAUAUCCAGUAGCUACCUGUUAGUUGUGAUUGGUAGUAGAAACCUAUUAUUCAUGGCUGGAAGUUGCAACCAGCAAGUCCAUUGUCACUUUCUUGAU
Long non-coding RNA from Ipomoea nil (Japanese morning glory), 250 nucleotides. RefSeq lists it as uncharacterized. The transcript has 2 exons. NCBI's taxonomy places the organism in Eukaryota, Viridiplantae, Streptophyta, Magnoliopsida, Solanales, Convolvulaceae. The record is from RefSeq and is a predicted model, not a curated record.